RNAcentral lists this ribosomal RNA (275 nucleotides) under uncultured soil bacterium. RNAcentral's name for it is "partial 16S ribosomal RNA". It matches the Rfam family "Bacterial small subunit ribosomal RNA", at positions 26 to 285 of the family's 1533-position model. The record is from RNAcentral.
AGAAUCAACGCUGGCGGCGUGCCUCAGACAUGCAAGUCGAACGCGAAAGUCCCCUUCGGGGGACAAGUAGAGUGGCGCACGGGUGAGUAACACGUAGGUAAUCUACCUUCGGAUGGGGAAUAACAACCGGAAACGGUUGCUAAUACCGCAUAAUGCAGCGGCACCUAAUGGUGACAGUUGUUAAAGCGGGGGAUCGAAAGACCUCGCGUCUGAAGAGGAGCCUGCGGCGGAUUAGCUAGUUGGUAGGGUAGCGGCCUACAAGGCGACGAUCCGUA